GUCGUAACAAGGUUUCCGUAGGUGAACCUGCGGAAGGAUCAUUACCACACCGAUCCACGAUCUUUCUUUUCUGAGAAAAUGGAGAGUGAUAUAUGUAUGGGAUGGAUGGAAUUUUAUGAUUUCAUCUGUUUUGUUUUGUAUCCUACUCUUCGAUUCUAUUGUGGGCUUCAAAAAUAUACUGGAAAACGGAUGUAGGCUUCUGUUUUCUACGUUUUACAACAUUCACUGGAACUGACGUUUAGGACCAUGAAACGUGAAAGAAGCGCAGUAUCAUGUAUUUGAUGAUGUGCUUCCUUAACAAGUUUAAAAAUUUGUACCAUGUACAACUUUCAGCAACGGAUGUCUAGGUUCCCA
RNAcentral lists this unclassified non-coding RNA (354 nucleotides) under fungal sp. RNAcentral describes it as "partial internal transcribed spacer region". The stretch from base 1 to 44 matches the Rfam family "Eukaryotic small subunit ribosomal RNA", at positions 1788 to 1831 of the family's 1831-position model. The record is from RNAcentral. Lineage: Eukaryota; Fungi.